Molecule: ribosomal RNA, 444 nt
Filed under: uncultured Aminicenantes bacterium
Lineage: Bacteria; Candidatus Aminicenantota
Description: bacterial SSU rRNA
Rfam family: Bacterial small subunit ribosomal RNA
Source: RNAcentral
GUGGUUUAAUUCGAUGCAACGCGAAGAACCUUACCUGGGCUUGAACUGCAGGUAUAGCUGCCUGAAAGGUUAGUGAUCCCCUUCGGGGAACCUGUAGAGGUGCUGCAUGGCUGUCGUCAGCUCGUGUCGUGAGAUGUUGGGUUAAGUCCCGCAACGAGCGCAACCCUUGCCAUUAGUUGUCAGCGAGUCAUGUCGGAUACUCUAAUGGGACUGCCGGUGACGAGCCGGAGGAAGGUGGGGAUGACGUCAAGUCAGCAUGGCCUUUAUGUCCAGGGCCACACACGUGCUACAAUGGACGGUACAGAGGGACGCAAGACCGCAAGGUGGAGCAAAUCCUCAAAACCGUUCUCAGUUCGGAUUGUAGGCUGCAAUUCGCCUACAUGAAGCUGGAAUUGCUAGUAAUCGCAGAUCAGCUACGCUGCGGUGAAUACGUUCUCGGGCCUU